AACACAUGCAAGUCGAGGGGCGAGCGCGGGGUAGCAAUACCCUGGCGGCGACCGGCGCACAGGUGCGUAACGCGUAUGCAACCUGCCCGCAACAGGGGGGAUAACGGAGAGAAAUCUCCACUAAUACCCCGUAUGGUCAGGCUUCCGCAUGGGAGUCUGACGAAAGCUUCGGCGGUUGCGGAUGGGCAUGCGUGGCAUUAGGUAGUUGGCGGGGCAACGGCCCACCAAGCCCACGAUGCCUAGGGGAGCUGAGAGGCUUAUCCCCCACACUGGUACUGAGACACGGACCAGACUCCUACGGGAGGCAGCAGUGAGGAAUAUUGGUCAAUGGAGGGAACUCUGAACCAGCCAUGCCGCGUGCGGGAAGAAGGCCCUAUGGGUUGUAAACCGCUUUUAACCGGGAGUAAUAAGGGCCGUGCGCGGUCCGAUGAGAGUACCGGUGGAAUAAGCAUCGGCUAACUCCGUGCCAGCCGCCGC
This 477-nucleotide ribosomal RNA is filed under the name uncultured bacterium. RNAcentral describes it as "bacterial SSU rRNA". It matches the Rfam family "Bacterial small subunit ribosomal RNA", at positions 50 to 518 of the family's 1533-position model. The record is from RNAcentral.